GGUGUUCAGCCCUCGYUCUCGAGGGCGCACUCGCCCGGUUACGGGCCAGCAUCGGUUCAGGCGGUCGGAUAAAUGCCAVAAGAAUGUGGCUUCCUUCKGGGAGUGUUAURGCUUCGGWGCCMUGCKRCCAGCCCGGACCGAGGAUCGCGCUUCSGCUAGGAUGCUGGCGUAAUGGUUGUAAGCGGMCCGUCUUGAAACACKKACCAAGGASUCKACCCUGCGUGCGAGUGUUUGGGUGUUAAACCCAUGCKCGUAAUGRAAGUGAACSGASGUGGGAAUCCCUUUAGGGAGGCACCRUCSACCGGUCCAGAWGUYYACGGACAGAUCUGAGUAAGAGCACGUACGGUCGGACCCGAAAGGUACGUUUAAUCUUUUUUUAUUGAAGCGAAUUUAUGCUAAUUGAAUGUGUAGAUGGUGAACUAUGCCUGAAUAGGGUGAAGCCAGGGGAAACCCUGGUGGAGGCUCGCAGCGGUUCUGACGUGCAAAUCGAUCGUCAAAUUUGGGUAUAGGGGUAAGUCUUCUGUUAUACAAGUAAACCAAUGACAUUUGCUAACACAUUUUUUCAGGCGAAAGACUAAUCGAACCAUCUAUUUUUUGCUACUUAGUGGUAUUGAGCGUGGCUGCSCUCGGCAUGCUCGCUUCUCAGCUCUUCGGGCACAUGCUACGUGCAUGAUCUACCUCCCGAAUCAGAGGUGACCUGCAGCGCUGC
This 709-nucleotide ribosomal RNA is filed under the name Heterodermia speciosa. RNAcentral describes it as "partial 28S ribosomal RNA". It matches the Rfam family "Eukaryotic large subunit ribosomal RNA", at positions 451 to 1401 of the family's 3401-position model. The record is from RNAcentral. Lineage: Eukaryota; Fungi; Ascomycota; Lecanoromycetes; Caliciales; Physciaceae.